RNAcentral lists this ribosomal RNA (402 nucleotides) under Triticum aestivum (bread wheat). RNAcentral's name for it is "partial small subunit ribosomal RNA". The record is from RNAcentral. Lineage: Eukaryota; Viridiplantae; Streptophyta; Magnoliopsida; Poales; Poaceae.
AUCCCCUUGCGCCGCCGGGCUGUGGAUCCCCGAACGCCGCCGCCAGGCCGUGGAGCCCCGCGCGCCGCCGCGGACCUCCACAUCCAUCCUCCGCCAUGGAUCCCAGGUUCCCCGCCGCCCCUAUCUGCCACCGCCGUGGCCCCCUGCUUCCGGGCGCACCAUCCACCGCCGCCAUUGUCAUGCGUCGCUGCCGCCCGAUAUGAUGAGGCGCCGCCGCCUCCCAAGCCACUGCCUAGCUCCAGCAUCUCCACGCGUCCACGCCACCAGACGGUUAACCGGGGUGUAGCUUCACUGUCAGACAUAUCCAUGGAUAUCACCAAGCUAACUCAGACGCUUGGUAUCCAGCCGAUUACAUUCCUGGAUGGAGUCAGAGCUACACUUGAUGCAGAAGCCACUACAUGA